Molecule: ribosomal RNA, 253 nt
Filed under: uncultured bacterium
Lineage: Bacteria
Description: partial 16S ribosomal RNA
Rfam family: Bacterial small subunit ribosomal RNA
Source: RNAcentral
GACAGAGGGUGCAAGCGUUAAUCGGAAUUACUGGGCGUAAAGAGCACGUAGGUGGGUAGUUUAGUCAUAUGUGAAAGCCCUGGGCUUAACCUAGGAAUUGCAUGUGAUACUGGCUGUCUAGAGUAUGGUAGAGGGUAGUGGAAUUUCCGGUGUAGCGGUGAAAUGCGUAGAUAUCGGAAAGAACAUCGGUGGCGAAGGCGGCUACCUGGACCAAUACUGACACUGAGGUGCGAAAGCGUGGGGAGCGAACAGG